AUGAACAUCAGGAAAAAUAGAAACCCUUGUAAUCCCUAACAUCUUCUUCAAGCUGGAGUUAUGCGACUCAUCUCUUUCCUUCUUAUUUCCGUCUAUGUUCACAAUCUGCAAUGCGCGACAUCCUCAUUCAAAGAGAACAUAUCUUCGUUUCAUUCUUUCUCUUCCUCCUUCUUUUUUCCACCAUAAAAUCUAUCUCCACCUUUUCAAAGGCAUUCUACAUCACAGGAUGGGAGUAGCUCAAUUGAUUUAGAACUGACAACAUUAUCAAGUGCCGAUCAUAUCUAAAUGACUCGAAGCUAUGCAGACUUUCAAGGCUCUACAUUGUUCAAGAAAUAAUCAAAGAAAUGCCUAAAAAUAGACCCAUUGAUACUAAAGGGAAGAAAAGGUUUGAAGAUUUUGAAUAAUUUUACCACUGCAUUGCAUUCUCUACAACCACUCAAAGUUCCUGGUUUCAAGUUAGACUUAAAAUUGUUUAAUGAUAAUUUUAGCAUUGGAGAAGUUCUUGUUUGUAAGCUUUAAACUAUUUGUGUGAUUUAUAAUGGAAAUGCUGGUAUGACUGGAUGUAUUAAAAUUUCUUUUUGUGGAAGAUGUUAGUUCAUUAGUUGCAAAGUAAAUUAAUUAUUCUGUUACCACACAUGUUGUAUAUAAAUUUAUUAUGUAUCUUUGUAAUGUAUCAAAGUGUUAGUUAAUUAAUUUCAAAGCCAGUUAAUUAUUCUGAUAGUUAGUUUGCAUUUGGUUAGCACACAUUAAAUUGAUUUUCAUUCAACAUCUUUCAUAUUUUCUACCUCCAAAGGUUUCACAUUCAAUAGAUUUCUAACAGUUCAUAGAUGAAGUUGUUCUUACUACGAAUACUUUUGUGCUAUAUAAGUGAAAAUACUGCACUAGUUUUUUAUUAGACUGGGCUCAUCAAUCAUCAUCCUCUUGGGAUGAGAUUCAUGGCUUUACAUUUGUUGAGUUCAUAACUAGUACCUUGACUCUCUCAAAUAAUUGAUUUAGCCAAUACUGCUUAUAUAUAUAUAUAUAUAUAUGUCAUUUAAGCAGGGAUUGUAUUUGUACUGUCAUACUUACUAGCUGACAUAUGCUGAUAUUGAUUUUUAUAUUUUUUUUUUCAAAUUUUGAAGGCUUUGUUGAAAAUGGGAAUUCGUGGUGUCACUGUAUCUGAUGCCAGGGGGUUUGGUGCUCAGGGUGGUUCAAAAGAGAGGCAGGGAGGCUGAAACAUUAUAAAGGAUUCAAGGAGGGGAAUAGACAUUGAACGUGUGAAUAUAGUUAUAAACUAUGAUAUGCCUGACGGUGCAGACACAUACUUGCACAGGGUUGGCCGGGCUGGAAGGUUUGGCACCAAAGGUCUUGCAAUUAUAUUUGUUUCAUGUUCAACUGAUGUGGAUGUUCUCAACAAUGUAUGGCAAUUGACUCUUUUUUGACACUAAUUUACAUUGUAUAGUUUUAGUAGAAAGCAGCCAUAGCAGUGGCAUGGUUCAGUGUAAAUCACAUAGGAUGUCAUAUGAGCAAUGUGGUGUAUUGAUAGUGAUGCUGUGAUUUAUGGUUGUUCUUUAUCAAUAUUGUUUUGGAGUUUCUGUCUACAGUUUGUUUCAUUGUUAAAUGAAGUAAUAGCCUAUUGUCUUUGCAUCUCCAGCAUUA
Molecule: non-coding RNA, 1638 nt
Organism: Cicer arietinum (chickpea)
Lineage: Eukaryota; Viridiplantae; Streptophyta; Magnoliopsida; Fabales; Fabaceae
Source: RefSeq, a predicted model, not a curated record